UGGCAGCCAACUAAGCCAAUGAGGUUCCUUUACUUGUGGGUGCUCAGCAUGCAAUGGCUGCAAAGAGCAACUGCCUCAGCUGUGUAUGCAGAUUGUGAGUUGCCCUAAGGGACCUUGAAGAAGUGC
RNAcentral lists this small nucleolar RNA (126 nucleotides) under Chinchilla lanigera (long-tailed chinchilla). RNAcentral's name for it is "Small nucleolar RNA SNORA70 (ENSCLAG00000019471.1)". It matches the Rfam family "Small nucleolar RNA SNORA70". Rfam says of the family: snoRNA U70 seems to be exclusive to mammals and is a member of the H/ACA class of snoRNA which contain H (ANANNA) and ACA box motifs. H/ACA box snoRNAs are involved in the conversion of uridines to pseudouridines (5-ribosyluracil) a constituent of structural RNAs (transfer, ribosomal, small nuclear, and small nucleolar). Lineage: Eukaryota; Metazoa; Chordata; Mammalia; Rodentia; Chinchillidae. The record is from Rfam by way of RNAcentral.